Molecule: ribosomal RNA, 203 nt
Filed under: uncultured bacterium
Lineage: Bacteria
Description: partial 16S ribosomal RNA
Rfam family: Bacterial small subunit ribosomal RNA
Source: RNAcentral
GAUUGCAGUCUGCAACUCGACUGCAUGAAGUCGGAAUCGCUAGUAAUCGCGGAUCAGCAUGCCGCGGUGAAUACGUUCCCGGGCCUUGUACACACCGCCCGUCACACCAUGAGAGUCGGGAACACCCGAAGUCCGUAGCCUAACCGCAAGGGGGCGCGGCCGAAGGUGGGUUCGAUAAUUGGGUGAAGUCGUAACAAGGUAUC